UACGAGGGAUCCUAGCGUUGUUCGGAAUCAUUGGGCGUAAAGGGUGUGUAGGCGGACUUGUAAGUCAGUUGUGAAAGCCCCGGGCUCAACCCGGGAAGUGCUUCUGAUACUGCUUGUCUUGAGUAUUGGAUAGGUGAGUGGAAUUCCAGGUGUAGUGGUGAAAUACGUAGAUAUCUGGAGGAACACCGGUGGCGAAGGCGGCUCACUGGCCAUAUACUGACGCUGAAACACGAAAGCGUGGGUAGCAAACAGGG
This 254-nucleotide ribosomal RNA is filed under the name uncultured bacterium. Its description in RNAcentral is "partial 16S ribosomal RNA". It matches the Rfam family "Bacterial small subunit ribosomal RNA", at positions 524 to 777 of the family's 1533-position model. The record is from RNAcentral.